AGCUUUGUGCAGUGGUGGAAUUAUAGCCAAUGAGGUUUAUCCAAGACAUGAUUAUUGCUAAUUGAAACAAAGCCUAUUGGG
RNAcentral lists this small nuclear RNA (81 nucleotides) under Chinchilla lanigera (long-tailed chinchilla). RNAcentral describes it as "U4 spliceosomal RNA (ENSCLAG00000020498.1)". The stretch from base 1 to 71 matches the Rfam family "U4 spliceosomal RNA". Rfam says of the family: U4 small nuclear RNA (U4 snRNA) is a component of the major U2-dependent spliceosome. The structure of U4 snRNA from yeast and human has been reported. The record is from RNAcentral. Lineage: Eukaryota; Metazoa; Chordata; Mammalia; Rodentia; Chinchillidae.